RNAcentral lists this ribosomal RNA (253 nucleotides) under uncultured bacterium. Its description in RNAcentral is "partial 16S ribosomal RNA". It matches the Rfam family "Bacterial small subunit ribosomal RNA", at positions 524 to 776 of the family's 1533-position model. The record is from RNAcentral.
UACGUAGGGGGCAAGCGUUGUCCGGAUUUAUUGGACGUAAAGAGCGUGUAGGCGGCCAGGCAGGUCCGUUGUGAAAACUCGAGGCUCAACCUCGAGACGUCGAUGGAAACCGUCUGGCUAGAGUCCGGAAGAGGAGAGUGGAAUUCCUGGUGUAGCGGUGAAAUGCGCAGAUAUCAGGAAGAACACCUAUGGCGAAGGCAGCUCUCUGGGACGGUACUGACGCUGAGACGCGAAAGCGUGGGGAGCGAACAGG